This 441-nucleotide unclassified non-coding RNA is filed under the name Hevea brasiliensis (rubber tree). The record is from RNAcentral. Lineage: Eukaryota; Viridiplantae; Streptophyta; Magnoliopsida; Malpighiales; Euphorbiaceae.
UUCACAGUUUCACUUUCAAUCAAAGCAAUAACAAAAGGGUCUGCACAUGUUCAACAAGGUGGCGGAUUCCUGGAUCAUAUUGUUAAGUAUCAGUACUGAAAUAAUCUCUGGAACAGAGAUUAAGAUAGAUACCUAGAAUAGAUUGGAUGAAAAGAGAAACAGAUUAGAUGAGAAGAGAAGGAGAGAAUUUCAGAGAAGAGAAAGUAUUUCUGUUAUUGAUUCUUGAAUAGAAUGAACACAGAUAUGAGUUCUCCUUUUAUACAAGAGCAGUGUAACUGCCUCUAAGAAAUUGUGUUAUCUAAACUACUUCAGUAUCUUUUCACCAUUUCUAACUACAUUUCGCUCCAAAACACUUACCACUCGACUAAGCUACUGCCUAUUACUAUUUCUUUUCUUCUUCCUAUAGUAUGUAACACGUAUAUCCUCAGCACCUUAGAGGCA